GGGCCCGCGGCCUAUCAGCUUGUUGGUGGGGUAAUGGCCUACCAAGGCGACGACGGGUAGCCGACCUGAGAGGGUGACCGGCCACACUGGGACUGAGACACGGCCCAGACUCCUACGGGAGGCAGCAGUGGGGAAUAUUGCACAAUGGGCGAAAGCCUGAUGCAGCGACGCCGCGUGAGGGACGACGGCCUUCGGGUUGUAAACCUCUUUCAGCAGGGACGAAGCGCAAGUGACGGUACCUGCAGAAGAAGCACCGGCUAACUACGUGCCAGCAGCCGCGGUAAUACGUAGGGUGCAAGCGUUGUCCGGAAUUACUGGGCGUAAAGAGUUCGUAGGCGGUUUGUCACGUCGUUUGUGAAAACUCACAGCUCAACUGUGAGCCUGCAGGCGAUACGGGCAGACUUGAGUACUGCAGGGGAGACUGGAAUUCCUGGUGUAGCGGUGAAAUGCGCAGAUAUCAGGAGGAACACCGGUGGCGAAGGCGGGUCUCUGGGCAGUAACUGACGCUGAGGAACGAAAGCGUGGGUAGCGAACAGGAUUAGAUAC
Molecule: ribosomal RNA, 546 nt
Filed under: Rhodococcus sp. VPMK24
Lineage: Bacteria; Bacillati; Actinomycetota; Actinomycetes; Mycobacteriales; Nocardiaceae
Description: bacterial SSU rRNA
Rfam family: Bacterial small subunit ribosomal RNA
Source: RNAcentral